Molecule: ribosomal RNA, 449 nt
Filed under: Entrophospora claroidea
Lineage: Eukaryota; Fungi; Glomeromycota; Glomeromycetes; Entrophosporales; Entrophosporaceae
Description: partial 26S ribosomal RNA
Rfam family: Eukaryotic large subunit ribosomal RNA
Source: RNAcentral
UCACCUAAGGCUAAAUAUUGGCGAGAGACCGAUGGCGAACAAGUACCGUGAGGGAAAGAUGAAAAGAACUUUGAAAAGAGAGUUAAACAGUACGUGAAAUUGUUGAAAGGGAAACGAUUGAAGUCAGCCGUGCUGGCGCGAAAUCAACCCUCUCAUCGGGAGAUCACAUGUUGUGGCGAGCCUCAAAACCGCCACAGCGUGUGACCUCACGAUGAGGGGGAGCACUUUCGUGUCCGCUGGUUAACAUCAAUUUCGAACGUCAUAAAAAGGCUGGAGGGAUGUGGCUCCUUCGGGAGUGUUAUAACCUUUAGCGGAAUGUGGUGGUCGGGAUUGAGGACUGCAACGAAUACCUUUAGGGCUGUUCCACCUGGCCUCUCUUUGGUAUCCUGGUGACGACAGCUUGCUGACGUUGUUAGGAUUCGCCUUUGAACGGGCUAGAGUGUGAGCAA